UCAACUCCAGCCACUUUAAUAAUGGAAAUUGAUGGAAAAAAUAUAUCACUAGCCACUUUAAACAAUGCCACUUAAUAUAAUGUUUACAUACCCUACAUUACUCAUCUCAUAUGUAUAUACUGCACUCUAUAUCAUCUACUGCAUCUUGCCUAUGCCGAUCUGUACCAUCACUCAUUCAUAUCUUUAUGUACAUAUUCUUUAUCCCUUUACACUUGUGUGUGUAUAAGGUAGUAGUUUUGGAAUUGUUAGGUUAGAUUACUCGUUGGUUAUUACUGCAUUGUCGGAACUAGAAGCACAAGCAUUUCGCUACACUCGCAUUAACAUCUGCUAACCAUGUGUAUGUGACAAAUAACAUUUGAUUUGUUUGUCUGUUUUCUUCUGUUUGGUACCGAAUUAAUGUGACCCUGGUGUCUAAGGAGCAGGAAGCCCAAAUGGAAUAUAUCCUCUUGAAGAGAAAGAUCACACACUGGCCUCGAUUCCAUCUGACACUGCCUGUACACAAGGAGAAGAGGUCAGAGAAGGGAAAGGACUUGAAUAUGAAGAGAGGUCAGAGAAGGGAAAGGACUUGAAUAUGAAGAGAGGUCAGAGAAGGGAAAGGACUUGAAUAUGAAGAGAUCAGAGAAGGGAAAGGACUUGAAUAUGAAGAGAGGUCAGAGAAGGGACAGAACUUGAAUAUGAAGAGAGGUCAGAGAAGGGACAGACUUGAAUAUGAAGAGAGGUCAGAGAAGGGAAAGGACUUGUUGAAUAUGAAGAGAGGUCAGAGAAGGGACAGACUUGAAUAUGAAGAGAGGUCAGAGAAGGGAAAGGACUUGUUGAAUACGAAGAGAGGUCAGAGAAGGGAAAGGACUUGUUGAAUAUGAAGAGAGGUCAGAGAAGGGAAAGGACUUGUUGAAUAUGAAGAGAGGUCAGAGAAGGGACAGACUUGAAUAUGAAGAGAGGUCAGAGAAGGGAAAAGACUUGAAUAUGAAGAGAGGUCAGAGAAGGGACAGACUUGAAUAUGAAGAGAGGUCAGAGAAGGGACAGACUUGAAUAUGAAGAGAGGUCAGAGAAGGGACAGACUUGAAUAUGAAGAGAGGUCAGAGAAGUGAAAGGACUUGUUGAAUAUGAAGAGAGGUCAGAGAAGGGAAAGGACUUGAAUAUGAAGAGAGGUCAGAGAAGUGAAAGGACUUGUUGAAUAUGAAGAGAGGUCAGAGAAGGGAAAGGACUUGAAUAUGAAGAGAGGUCAGAGAAGUGAAAGGACUUGUUGAAUAUGAAGAGAGGUCAGAGAAGGGAAAGGACUUGUUGAAUAUGAAGAGAGG
Long non-coding RNA from Oncorhynchus tshawytscha (Chinook salmon), 1298 nucleotides. The record is from Ensembl. Lineage: Eukaryota; Metazoa; Chordata; Actinopteri; Salmoniformes; Salmonidae.